AACGAACGCUGGCGGCAUGCCUAACACAUGCAAGUCGAACGAGACCUUCGGGUCUAGUGGCGCACGGGUGCGUAACGCGUGGGAACCUGCCCUUAGGUUCGGAAUAACUCCCCGAAAGGGGUGCUAAUACCGGAUAAUGUCUUCGGACCAAAGAUUUAUCGCCUUUGGAUGGGCCCGCGUUGGAUUAGCUAGUUGGUAGGGUAAAAGCCUACCAAGGCGACGAUCCAUAGCUGGUCUGAGAGGAUGAUCAGCCACACUGGGACUGAGACACGGCCCAGACUCCUACGGGAGGCAGCAGUGGGGAAUAUUGGACAAUGGGCGAAGGCCUGAUCCAGCAAUGCCGCGUGAGUGAUGAAGGCCUUAGGGUUGUAAAGCUCUUUUACCCGGGAUGAUAAUGACAGUACCGGGAGAAUAAGCUCUGGCUAACUCCGUG
RNAcentral lists this ribosomal RNA (433 nucleotides) under uncultured bacterium. Its description in RNAcentral is "partial 16S ribosomal RNA". It matches the Rfam family "Bacterial small subunit ribosomal RNA", at positions 29 to 507 of the family's 1533-position model. The record is from RNAcentral.